UCCAGACUCCUACGGGAGGCAGCAGUGGGGAAUUUUGGACAAUGGGCGCAAGCCUGAUCCAGCUAUUCCGCGUGUGGGAUGACUGCCCUACGGGUUGUAAACUUCUUUUAUAAAGGAAUAAAGUGAGGCACGUGUGCCUUUUUGUAUGUACUUUAUGAAUAAGGAUCGGCUAACUCCGUGCCAGCAGCCGCGGUAAUACGGAGGAUCCGAGCGUUAUCCGGAUUUAUUGGGUUUAAAGGGAGCGUAGAUGGGUUGUUAAGUCAGUUGUGAAAGUUUGCGGCUCAACCGUAAAAUUGCAAUUGAUACUGGCAGCCUUGAGUACAGUUGAGGUAGGCGGAAUUCGUGGUGUAGCGGUGAAAUGCUUAGAUAUCACGAAGAACUCCGAUUGCGAAGGCAGCUCACUGGACUGCAACUGACACUGAGGCUCGAAAGUGUGGGUAUCAAACAGGAUUAGAUACCCCCGUAGA
Molecule: ribosomal RNA, 467 nt
Filed under: uncultured bacterium
Lineage: Bacteria
Description: bacterial SSU rRNA
Rfam family: Bacterial small subunit ribosomal RNA
Source: RNAcentral